RNAcentral lists this long non-coding RNA (4704 nucleotides) under Homo sapiens (human). RNAcentral's name for it is "HSALNT0238619". The record is from RNAcentral. Lineage: Eukaryota; Metazoa; Chordata; Mammalia; Primates; Hominidae.
UUGGUAUAGAAAGUUGGUGGACCGGAGCUGGCUGUGCCAAUGUUGGUCAUUGUUUUUGAGUAUUUGCCAUGAGCAGAUGCUGGGCUCACACUGGCCCCAGGAGACAGUGCUAGGAUGCCCAUUUUGUAGGUGAGGAAACUGAGGCACAGAGAAGUAAAGUAACUGGCCCAAGGUUACACAGCUGGUAAGAGGCAGAGCCAGGGUUCGAACUGAACCCUCUCUCCACAGCCCAGGUGCUGGAGGGAGAGACAGGAGGGGCAUUGGCAGGAGGGGUACUGGCUUCCUGCCCAUUGCCCCUCUCCCCCUCCCAUAUGAACCAUCAGUGACAAGGGGGAUGGUGGGCAAGAGGCCUGCUCAACCGGGAUGCUGAACACUGCUGCCCAGCAGCCCAGCCAUUCAUCUUCACUGACCACACAGAUGCCAGAGCCAGCCUCUUAGCUCACAGCCAGCAAGGUUAAAAAUACACCCAAACCAUGUUUCCAUUGACUUGGCCCUGAGUUACGGCCUAGGGCCUGUGGCUGCCUCCAGCUCAGAUUCCGGAGGCUGGGCGUGCCAGGCUGGCCGAGGCCACCUCCCGGCCAGAGGGACCAGCUCACCUUCCUGGCCUAUGAAAGGGGCUGACCCGCCCCUCCCUGCAGGCUCAUGGGAGCAUUUCCCAGACACCAGGCCUACAAGAGGCUCCUCCAGCCCUGACCCUGUGGCCAGCAGGGAGCUGGCCAGGCCGAGUGUGAUUCAGGAGAGGAAGAACGGACUUUGGAAUUUGCUGUCGUGUCAGUUCCUCCUCCUCAGCUGGGAAGACCUAAAGAGGGGCCCGGAUGCGGAGACAAAAUCAGAGCCAGAGGGGCCCAGGAGACCCCAGAGAGGGCACCGAGCUUUCUGAAGCCCUCAGGGUGGGACUGAAGAGCCCGCGUGCUGGUGGGUGCAUGGAAGCCAGACCUCAUCCAGCGAGGGGUCAGUGGCGCAACCUCCAGAACUGGGCUGUCCUCUGCAGCAGCCUCUCACCACACAUUCACACUUAAACAAAUGAAAAUGACCUUUAGUAAGAAUUCCACUCCUCCAUCAAAUGAGUCACAUUCUGGGUGCUCAAUGGCCACCUGUGGCUGGUGGCUGUCAUUUGGACAGCACAGAUCUGGAACAUUCCCAUCAACACAGAGAGCUCUGUUGCACAGCUCAGCUCUGGAGGAUGAAUCCUGACUGGGCCAAACCAGUCAGGGAAUCCCACUCCCCAUGGCAAGUGGGGGGUCUGUGGCUGCCUCCUGAUGUACUUCUGAACAACGAUGAAACAUAAGGGAAGGCUGGGAGAGAUGGACCUCCUGGUAUAAAGAGAUAGACGUGAGAGGAGCAGACUCUUAACACAUUGGCUGACCCCCUUGCCUCCAGCCUUUGAAAGCUGUGAGAUGAUGCAAUGACUGGAGAUGAGGCAGCCAUCUUGCAACUAUGAGGCAAAAAGCCUAAGAACAAAAACCAACACACACAGGAUGGAAGGAACCUGGAGCUCCACCAAGCUAUGGAACUAACUGCCUCUGCAGUUUUCUUUCUAUGAAUCCAAUGACUUUAUUACUAAGCCACUGUAGUUGAGGAAUUCUGUCACCUGCUGCUGAAUACUCUCUGAUAAAACUACAAACCAAUACCCACAUUUGGCUCUUAGGCCUUUAGGUGAACUUUUCCCUCUUAGUGAAAUUCUCCCCUUCUCAUUUCUGUUCAGUCUAUCCAUGUGUUAGGGCCCAGAUCAAAGGCUGCCUCCCCCAGGAAGCCUUCCUUGAACAUCUCCCACAAAUCUGGAAGCGAUCACUCCCUCCUCUGCCUUAGAAUUGGUCUCUGUCUUCCAACCCGCAGCACCAGUGAGGGCAGGGUUUACACCUGUCUUCAUGGAGAGUGCCCCAGGCCCUUAGAAACAUGCACACCAAGUAACAGGGGCUCAACUGAUAUUUGGUGAAUAAAAGAAUAGCUUUAUUUCAGCCUCCUCACCAUGCCCUGUACGAUAGGGUUUAUACAAAAGCUUGUGAAAUGGAGCAAGUUUCUCAUGGCUCUCAGAAGUGGGGAAAUCAAAGCAGACCACCUGCCCAGACCUCACACCACACACCCAUGUACCUUCCUGGACAAUUGAGGAGUCAAAUGGAGAUGCAAGGGGGAAAAUUUUAAUUCUAUGCAAAGCCCAUUGACAGAUGAAUGAAUAAGAUGUGGUUGAUACCCACGGUGGAAUAAGAUUCAGCCUUAAAAAGGAAGAACACUCUGAUACGUGCUGCCACAUGGUGAAUCUUGAGGACAUUACGCUAAGGCAUGAAAGGACAAACAUGACUCCACUUAUAUGAGGUCCUCAACUUGUCAAAUUCAGAGAGACAGAGAGUAGAAUGGUGGUUGCCCGGGGAUGGGGGAGAGAUGAGAAGUUGUUUAAUGAGGACAGAGUUUCAGUUUUGCAAGAUGAAAAGAAUUCUGGAGAUGGAUGGUGGUGAUGACUGCAUGCACAACAAUGUGAACGCGCUUAAUGCCGCUGAACUGUGCACUUAAAAAUGGUUAAGAUGGUAGAUUUUAUAUUAUGUGAAUCUUACCACAAUUAAAAAUUUGCUUAAAUGCUAUGUGGAACUGUGAUAUUGUUAAAUAUACGUUUGGUCUUCUUCCCUUUUCCUGGCAUACAACUCCUGAAAUCCUUGGAAUCUCCAAAGUGAUGUCUUCUUGCAUGUGAAUGAUUCACUGAGGGCUGGCAGCCCCUAAGUAGCUUCAGGAUAGGGCUGGUCAGAGGAAAGACCAAGGCAGGAUCAGUCCUGGGAAGAGGAGAGAGAACUGACGGUUAAGUUGAUCACCAGUGACAUUGCAAUCAUAUCAUAUUACAAUCAAUCGUAUCUCCAUAAUGAAGCCUCCGUAACAACAUAAAGGGACAGAUUCAGGGAGCUGAACACAUGAAGGUUCCUAGAGGGCGGUGCUUCCCAGGGAGGGCAUGGAAGUUCCACACCCCUUCCCCAUAACUUACCCUAUGCAUCCCUUCAGCUGUCUCCUUUGACGUAUCUCUUGUGAUAAACCAGUAAAUAUAAGUAAGUGUCUCCCUAAGUUCCGUGAGCCACUCUAGCAAGUUAAACCCAAGGAUGUGGCCAUGGGAACCCCAAUUUCAAGCUAGUUGGCCAGAAGCAGAGGUGAAACAACCUGGGGCUUUUGAUUGACAUUGGAAGUUGGGGAGCAGUCUUGGGGAUUGAGCCCUUGCUACCACACUGGACUGGGGUCUGCUUGCCAAGUGCAGUAAAGCCAAACAUCCACACUGAGGUUUUGCAGCAGGAGAAGAGAGGGCACUUAUUUGCAGGGCACCAAGCAAGGAGAAUGGGGACAGCUCAUACUUGAGACCCAACCUCCCCAGUGGCUUACAAACAAGGCUUCUUAAAGACAGGGGUACAUUUCAGGAAAGCAGAAGUUACAAGUACAAUCAUAAAUCAAUAUACAGGGGCUACACAUUGGUUUGGCCUAAAAACGUGGGAUGUCUUGAAGUGGGUGCACUUCUGGGUCAUAGGUAGAUUCAAAGACUCUCUGAUUUGCCAUUGAUUAAGGAAUCUAGACUUUGUCUAAAAACUUGGGGUCAGCAGAAAGGAAUGUUAAGGUCUGGCCUGUGGAUGUGGCUUCUUUCAGGCCCCUCAGGAAGAAAUGUAGAUCAAAGAACAGCAAGAGGUCAGAGUUCAGUGCUCAGCUCCCCGUUCUCUGGAGUCUAUGUGCCAGCAGACUCCAUGUGGUGGGGGUCCAGGUUUUUGAAAAGCUCAGGGUCGGUGGCCGGUUAGCUCAGUUGGUUAGAGUGUGGUGCUGAAAAACAACUCAGGGACAUACGUGAAGAUCUUAUCUUCAGUUUCUAUAGGGAACCAAACAUCUGACUCUAACUUCCUUGGCUAUUGUUUUAUGUUACUAUUACCUUCUUGCUUAUCAAGCUGCUCAUUUACUUCUCAGGCCUAGCUGGGUACCUGGAAGUUCCCCUGAAAGGACUCAAGAUUUUCCUUUAUCUCCUUGUGUGGGGUAGGGUGGCAGUGCUGGUGUCCCCUUAAGAGGGAGGGGUCUCUGCUCUGUCCCCUCCUCAGCCUGUGGUCCGAUGUUGUCUUCAGAUCGAUGGUGUCAGAACCCAGCUGGUGUCUGCUGCAGAAGUGCUUGCUUGCUGGUGGGGAACAAUCCCCCUACAUUUGGUCAGUGUUCUGUGUUGAUUGUUGAGUGAUAGGAUAGAAAAAGCACUUUGGUUUGGGUUUUUCUAUACCCACAGAGAAAGAUACAUAUUCAAAGAGUUUGUAAAAUGACGGGAUACAGUUUAGACCAGAAUGACUCCAAUAGGCCCACCACCCGCCUGAAGAAACAGCAUUCCAGUCCCGUGGAGGCCCCGAGUGUCCCCACCCAGCUUCAUCUCCCUCUCCUCUCAAAAAAACUCCCUUGCUUUUUACAGUUCUGAAGGUGUAUUCUUAAACAAUAUACAGUUCAAUUUUACUUGGUUUUAACCUCUACAUAAAUGUAACAGAGAAAACACUAAAUCUCUUCUGUGGCUUCCUCUUCUGCCUGGGUAUCUUGGGGUGAGCAUUUUUAUUAUUAUCUGUUAAACUUGCAUGUGUGCCAUGUUCUCUUUGGCGUGUCUCAUACACUUAACAGUUACAAAUAAAUACAUACAGUGCCAAAUGUAAAGUUCAAAGUCUUAAAAAAAAAUAAAGCAGUUUAGGCCAGGCGCGGUGGCUUAUGCCUGUAAUCCCAGCA